Molecule: ribosomal RNA, 466 nt
Filed under: uncultured bacterium
Lineage: Bacteria
Description: bacterial SSU rRNA
Rfam family: Bacterial small subunit ribosomal RNA
Source: RNAcentral
CCAGACUCCUACGGGAGGCAGCAGUGAGGAAUAUUGGUCAAUGGCCGCAGGGCUGAACCAGCCAAGUCGCGUGAGGGAAGACGGUCCUAUGGAUUGUAAACCUCUUUUGUCGGGGAGCAAAAAGGCCUCGUGAGGCCACAAGUGAGAGUACCCGAAGAAAAAGCAUCGGCUAACUCUGUGCCAGCAGCCGCGGUAAUACGGAGGAUGCGAGCGUUAUCCGGAUUUAUUGGGUUUAAAGGGUGCGCAGGCGGGAGAUCAAGUCAGCGGUAAAAUGUCGGGGCUCAACCCCGGCCGGCCGUUGAAACUGGUUUUCUAGAGUUGGAGAGAAGUAUGCGGAAUUCGUGGUGUAGCGGUGAAAUGCAUAGAUAUCACGAAGAACUCCGAUUGCGAAGGCAGCAUACCGGCUCCAUACUGACGCUGAGGCACGAAAGCGUGGGGAUCGAACAGGAUUAGAUACCCUUGUAUU